UACGUAGGGGGCUAGCGUUGUCCGGAAUCAUUGGGCGUAAAGCGUGUGUAGGCGGUCCGGUAAGUCCGCUGUGAAAGUCGGGGGCUCAACCCUCGGAUGCCGGUGGAUACUGUCGGACUAGAGUACGGAAGAGGCGAGUGGAAUUCCUGGUGUAGCGGUGAAAUGCGCAGAUAUCAGGAGGAACACCAAUUGCGAAGGCAGCUCGCUGGGACGUUACUGACGCUGAGACGCGAAAGCGUGGGGAGCAAACAGG
RNAcentral lists this ribosomal RNA (253 nucleotides) under uncultured bacterium. RNAcentral describes it as "partial 16S ribosomal RNA". It matches the Rfam family "Bacterial small subunit ribosomal RNA", at positions 524 to 776 of the family's 1533-position model. The record is from RNAcentral.